AACGAACGCUGGCGGCAGGCUUAACACAUGCAAGUCGAACGCGUGUAGCAAUACACGAGUGGCGCACGGGUGAGUAACGCGUGGAUAUCUGCCUUUGGUUCGGAAUAACCCCGGGAAACUGGGGCUAAUACCGAAUGGUUCCUUCGGGAUAAAGAUUUAUCGCCAAAAGAUGAGUCCGCGUACGAUUAGCUAGUUGGUGAGGUAAUGGCUCACCAAGGCGACGAUCGUUAGCUGGUCUGAGAGGACGAUCAGCCACACUGGGACUGAGACACGGCCCAGACUCCUACGGGAGGCAGCAGUGGGGAAUAUUGGACAAUGGGGGCAACCCUGAUCCAGCCAUGCCGCGUGAGUGAUGAAGGCCUUCGGGUUGUAAAGCUCUUUUGGCGGGGACGAUGAUGACGGUACCCGCAGAAUAAGCCCCGGCUAACUUCGUG
Molecule: ribosomal RNA, 434 nt
Filed under: uncultured bacterium
Lineage: Bacteria
Description: bacterial SSU rRNA
Rfam family: Bacterial small subunit ribosomal RNA
Source: RNAcentral